RNAcentral lists this ribosomal RNA (429 nucleotides) under Gemmatimonadota bacterium. RNAcentral's name for it is "Gemmatimonadetes bacterium partial 16S ribosomal RNA". It matches the Rfam family "Bacterial small subunit ribosomal RNA", at positions 355 to 776 of the family's 1533-position model. Lineage: Bacteria; Pseudomonadati; Gemmatimonadota. The record is from RNAcentral.
UAGGGAAUCUUCGGCAAUGGACGAAAGUCUGACCGAGCAACGCCGCGUGAGUGAAGAAGGUUUUCGGAUCGUAAAACUCUGUUGUUAGAGAUGAACAAGGACGUUAGUAACUGAACGUCCCCUGACGGUAUCUAACCAGAAAGCCACGGCUAACUACGUGCCAGCAGCCGCGGUAAUACGUAGGUGGCAAGCGUUGUCCGGAUUUAUUGGGCGUAAAGCGAGCGCAGGCGGUUUCUUAAGUCUGAUGUGAAAGCCCCCGGCUCAACCGGGGAGGGUCAUUGGAAACUGGGAGACUUGAGUGCAGAAGAGGAGAGUGGAAUUCCAUGUGUAGCGGUGAAAUGCGUAGAUAUAUGGAGGAACACCAGUGGCGAAGGCGGCUCUCUGGUCUGUAACUGACGCUGAGGCUCGAAAGCGUGGGGAGCAAACAGG